UGGGGAAUCUUGGGCAAUGGGCGAAAGCCUGACCCAGCCACGCCGCGUGGAGGAUGAAGCCCCUCGGGGUGUAAACUCCUUUUCUGGGGGAAGAAAUCCCGGCUGUUGUCGGGACUGACGGUACCCCAGGAAUAAGCGCCGGCUAACUCCGUGCCAGCAGCCGCGGUAAUACGUAGGUGGCAAGCGUUAUCCGGAAUUAUUGGGCGUAAAGAGCUCGUAGGUGGUUUGUCGCGUCGUUCGUGAAAUCUC
This 249-nucleotide ribosomal RNA is filed under the name uncultured organism. RNAcentral describes it as "partial 16S ribosomal RNA". It matches the Rfam family "Bacterial small subunit ribosomal RNA", at positions 355 to 603 of the family's 1533-position model. The record is from RNAcentral.